AAGGAAAUGAAGAAUUUGUGAACCUGUAGUACUUGGCCAAUGAGGAAAUGGGAGGAAUUAAGCAUUGGGUAAUA
Molecule: long non-coding RNA, 74 nt
Organism: Oxyura jamaicensis (ruddy duck)
Lineage: Eukaryota; Metazoa; Chordata; Aves; Anseriformes; Anatidae
Exons: 3
Source: RefSeq, a predicted model, not a curated record